UACCUAUAGAUUUUCCUAAAAGAGGAGGAGGAGGAGGGGGAGGGGCACUAGGUGGUGCUGGAACUGGAGAUGAAUUUGUAGUGCUCCCAGCUUGUCCUGAGUGAAGAGGAGGCGGUGGAGGUGGGGGAGGUCUAGAAGUAGCAGCAAGGUUAUCUUUCAAAGGAGGAGUUGGAGGAGGAGGAGGUGGGGGAGGUCUAGAAGUAGCAGCAAGGUUCUCUUUCAAAGGAGGAGUUGGAGGAGGAGGAGGUGGAGGAGACUGCAAUGAUGAAGUAACAUUAGUAACUGGAGAAGAGGAGGGUGGUAACCUCCCAGGGCUAGAUGGUUGGGAUAGUGAAUCUUUCGGCUUUGGAAGUGUAGUACAUUGAGGUUGAAGUGGGGGUAUUGGGGGAGGGGGAGUUGUU
Molecule: long non-coding RNA, 401 nt
Filed under: Fragaria vesca (wild strawberry)
Lineage: Eukaryota; Viridiplantae; Streptophyta; Magnoliopsida; Rosales; Rosaceae
Description: long non-coding RNA (FVES_LNC000016)
Source: RNAcentral